CUAUACAUGCAGUCGAGCGGACAGAUGGGAGCUUGCUCCCUGAUGUUAGCGGCGGACGGGUGAGUAACACGUGGGUAACCUGCCUGUAAGACUGGGAUAACUCCGGGAAACCGGGGCUAAUACCGGAUGCUUGUUUGAACCGCAUGGUUCAGACAUAAAAGGUGGCUUCGGCUACCACUUACAGAUGGACCCGCGGCGCAUUAGCUAGUUGGUGAGGUAACGGCUCACCAAGGCGACGAUGCGUAGCCGACCUGAGAGGGUGAUCGGCCACACUGGGACUGAGACACGGCCCAGACUCCUACGGGAGGCAGCAGUAGGGAAUCUUCCGCAAUGGACGAAAGUCUGACGGAGCAACGCCGCGUGAGUGAUGAAGGUUUUCGGAUCGUAAAGCUCUGUUGUUAGGGAAGAACAAGUGCCGUUCAAAUAGGGCGGCACCUUGACGGUACCUAACCAGAAAGCCACGGCUAACUACGUGCCAGCAGCCGCGGUAAUACGUAGGUGGCAAGCGUUGUCCGGAAUUAUUGGGCGUAAAGGGCUCGCAGGCGGUUUCUUAAGUCUGAUGUGAAAGCCCCCGGCUCAACCGGGGAGGGUCAUUGGAAACUGGGGAACUUGAGUGCAGAAGAGGAGAGUGGAAUUCCACGUGUAGCGGUGAAAUGCGUAGAGAUGUGGAGGAACACCAGUGGCGAAGGCGACUCUCUGGUCUGUAACUGACGCUGAGGAGCGAAAGCGUGGGGAGCGAACAGGAUUAGAUACCCUGG
This 758-nucleotide ribosomal RNA is filed under the name Bacillus siamensis. Its description in RNAcentral is "bacterial SSU rRNA". It matches the Rfam family "Bacterial small subunit ribosomal RNA", at positions 49 to 790 of the family's 1533-position model. Lineage: Bacteria; Bacillati; Bacillota; Bacilli; Caryophanales; Bacillaceae. The record is from RNAcentral.